RNAcentral lists this ribosomal RNA (658 nucleotides) under uncultured Amphinema. Its description in RNAcentral is "eukaryotic LSU rRNA". The stretch from base 155 to 309 matches the Rfam family "5.8S ribosomal RNA". The record is from RNAcentral. Lineage: Eukaryota; Fungi; Basidiomycota; Agaricomycetes; Atheliales; Atheliaceae.
GGCUGUCUGCUGGCCCCUUCGGGGGCAUGUGCAUGUCCGAGCCGUUUAAAUCAACACCUGUGAACUCACCGUAGGCCUUCGGGCUUAUGUAUCAUAUAUAUAUAUACUCAGAUCAUAGAAUGUACAUUUUGCCUUUAAAAAAGCAAUCAAAUACAACUUUCAACAACGGAUCUCUUGGCUCUCGCAUCGAUGAAGAACGCAGCGAAAUGCGAUAAGUAAUGUGAAUUGCAGAUUUUCAGUGAAUCAUCGAAUCUUUGAACGCACCUUGCGCUCCUUGGUAUUCCGAGGAGCAUGCCUGUUUGAGUGUCAUUAAAUCCUCAACCCCGUCCGUCGGUCGGGGCUUGGACUUUGGAGCGUGCUGGCGAAGGUCGGCUCCUCUUUAAAUGCAUCAGCGGAGAAAAACAAACCUUUUUUCCCCCUUCAGCGUGAUAACUGUGUUGCGCUGUGGUCGCGAAAGGGUCCGCUCAUAAUCGUCCUCGGACAAACACCGAAUCUGUUUUGACCUCAGAUCANGUAGGACUACCCGCUGAACUUAAGCAUAUCAAUAAGCGGAGGAAAAGAAACUAACAAGGAUUCCCCUAGUAACUGCGAGUGAAGCGGGAAAAGCUCAAAUUUAAAAUCUGGCGGUCCUCUGGCCGUCCGAGUUGUAAUCUGGAGA